GGCGUGGGGACAGUGUCUGGUGGGUAGUUUGACUGGGGCGGUCUCCUCCCAAAGUGUAACGGAGGAGCACGAAGGUCAGCUAAUCCUGGUCGGACAUCAGGAGGUUAGUGCAAUGGCAUAAGCUGGCUUGACUGCGAGAGUGACGGCUCGAGCAGGUGCGAAAGCAGGUCAUAGUGAUCCGGUGGUUCUGUAUGGAAGGGCCAUCGCUCAACGGAUAAAAGGUACUCCGGGGAUAACAGGCUGAUACCGCCCAAGAGUUCAUAUCGACGGCGGUGUUUGGCACCUCGAUGUCGGCUCAUCACAUCCUGGGGCUGAAGUAGGUCCCAAGGGUAUGGCUGUUCGCCAUUUAAAGUGGUACGCGAGCUGGGUUUAGAACGUCGUGAGACAGUUCGGUCCCUAUCUGCCGUGGGCGCUGGAGAAUUGAGGGGGGCUGCUCCCAGUACGAGAGGACCGGAGUGGACGCAUCACUGGUGUUCGGGUUGUCAUGCCAAUGGCACUGCCCGGUAGCUAAAUGCGGAAGAGAUAAGUGCUGAAAGCAUCUAAGCACGAAACUUGCCCCGAGAUGAGUUCUCCCUGA
This 577-nucleotide ribosomal RNA is filed under the name Cronobacter turicensis. RNAcentral describes it as "partial 23S ribosomal RNA". It matches the Rfam family "Bacterial large subunit ribosomal RNA", at positions 2242 to 2818 of the family's 2925-position model. Lineage: Bacteria; Pseudomonadati; Pseudomonadota; Gammaproteobacteria; Enterobacterales; Enterobacteriaceae. The record is from RNAcentral.